Molecule: ribosomal RNA, 651 nt
Filed under: uncultured bacterium
Lineage: Bacteria
Description: bacterial SSU rRNA
Rfam family: Bacterial small subunit ribosomal RNA
Source: RNAcentral
AGAGUUUGAUCCUGGCUCAGAUUGAACGCUGGCGGCAUGCCUUACACAUGCAAGUCGAACGGCAGCACGGGAGCAAUCCUGGUGGCGAGUGGCGAACGGGUGAGUAAUAUAUCGGAACGUGCCCAGUCGUGGGGGAUAACGUAGCGAAAGCUACGCUAAUACCGCAUACGAUCUAUGGAUGAAAGCGGGGGAUCGCAAGACCUCGCGCGAUUGGAGCGGCCGAUAUCAGAUUAGGUAGUUGGUGAGGUAAAGGCUCACCAAGCCGACGAUCUGUAGCUGGUCUGAGAGGACGACCAGCCACACUGGGACUGAGACACGGCCCAGACUCCUACGGGAGGCAGCAGUGGGGAAUUUUGGACAAUGGGCGCAAGCCUGAUCCAGCAAUGCCGCGUGCAGGAUGAAGGCCUUCGGGUUGUAAACUGCUUUUGUACGGAACGAAACGGUGAGCUCUAAUACAGUUUGCUAAUGACGGUACCGUAAGAAUAAGCACCGGCUAACUACGUGCCAGCAGCCGCGGUAAUACGUAGGGUGCGAGCGUUAAUCGGAAUUACUGGGCGUAAAGCGUGCGCAGGCGGUGAUGUAAGACAGAUGUGAAAUCCCCGGGCUCAACCUGAGACCUGCAUUUGUGACUGCAUCGCUAGAGUACGGUAG